CCUACGGGUGGCUGCAGUGGGGAAUAUUGGACAAUGGGCGAAAGCCUGAUCCAGCCAUGCCGCGUGUGUGAAGAAGGCCUUCGGGUUGUAAAGCACUUUCAGUGGCGAAGAAAGCCUUGGGGCUAAUACCCUCGAGGAAGGACAUCACCCACAGAAGAAGCACCGGCUAACUCCGUGCCAGCAGCCGCGGUAAUACGGAGGGUGCGAGCGUUAAUCGGAAUUACUGGGCGUAAAGCGCGCGUAGGCGGUCUGAUAAGCCGGUUGUGAAAGCCCCGGGCUCAACCUGGGAACGGCAUCCGGAACUGUCAGGCUAGAGUGCAGGAGAGGAAGGUAGAAUUCCCGGUGUAGCGGUGAAAUGCGUAGAGAUCGGGAGGAAUACCAGUGGCGAAGGCGGCCUUCUGGACUGACACUGACGCUGAGGUGCGAAAGCGUGGGUAGCAAACAGGAUUAGAUACCCUGGUAGUC
This 465-nucleotide ribosomal RNA is filed under the name Vreelandella stevensii. Its description in RNAcentral is "partial 16S ribosomal RNA". It matches the Rfam family "Bacterial small subunit ribosomal RNA", at positions 338 to 795 of the family's 1533-position model. The record is from RNAcentral. Lineage: Bacteria; Pseudomonadati; Pseudomonadota; Gammaproteobacteria; Oceanospirillales; Halomonadaceae.